CUGGCUGGGACAUAUUAUUGUAUCGUAAUUUAUUUUCAGAACAACGGUACAAGUCAAAACUAGGGACAGUCUUGGUUUUCUGGAGCAUAUGACAACCCUAGAUGUACACGAUGUAGACCCUUUUCCCUUUUCUGAAAGGAAAUUUUCUUUAAAGUACUUUAAGAAGAAAAUGUUUUUAUUUUCACAAUAAAAGGAUAAAAGUGAGAAAAAACAGUAAAAUAUUAUGAAUUUCUUUUUCCUGGAGUUAAUUUUACAAUGAUAGCACUUAAUCUGACUGGGAAAGUACUUUAGUGAGGUCAUUAAUUGAUUUUCCUAGCAAAUUUGAAAAAUAAGUACAAUAUUAAACAAAUAUUCAAAAAAAUAUACAAUGCUUCUUUAACUAUUUUAUCAUAAUUUGACAAAAUUGUUAACAAAGCAUCAUUAUCUACUGAACUCUGCUCGGAAUCGUUUUUACUAAGCAAUGGUUUAUUGUUGCUUACAAAUACAAAUUAAUUUCCCAUCAAAAUCCUUCAUUCCCAAAUUCUCAUCAACAGUGACUGCACCCAUCAUGAGAAGUAUGUCUGUCUUCUUUUUCUAUUUCCCUUAGUUCCAGCAGGCUCGGAUUUCAACUUUCAUUAGUUUGUUAUACAUUCCUAUCUUUCUACAUAUUUUUGUUUUUCUUAAUAUUAAUAACAAUGAUAAUAAUAAUAAUUAUGGUUAUUUAUUGUAACCAAAAGUAAUCAGUUGUAGACCAAACAAUAGAAAAAAAGUACAAGUAAUGUCAAAACAUCUGCUAUUUGUGGAUUUUAAAAAGGCACAGUUUAUAACAGUGUAAAUGUGCAUGGAAGAUACAAGGUAUUUAGCAAAUAAUACCUUUAGCUUUUGAAGUUAGUACAGGAUUGAAACAACAAGAUUCGUCAUCAGUCACGUUACUUAUUAAGCUCAGCAGAAGAUGAAAUUUGAACAUGAAUUUCAGUACCAAGGAUCAGUAUUAAACACAAAAAAUGACUGGUCUAGAGAAAUAAGUAUAAGGGUAACAAACGAUUUUCUCUGAGUAAGUUCUUAAAAUUCAAAGUGUUUUCCAAAAAUCAGGCAAUCUCAUGUUUUGUAUAAAACUCAAUCUCAAUUUGAGGUGCUAUUAUCAUAAAGUGGAUGUUUUGUAUCUCAAUUUUGGUUGUUGUUGACCUACAUAUAUUGAGUUGUUAUUUCACUUAAAGUUUGAAAUGUACCUCUGUUAUUGUUAAACAAUCUGUUAUGAUUCUAUAGGACUUAUUGAAUCAAUAUUAUACUCAGUGGUGUUGGAUAAGAAUGCUAAUAAAU
Molecule: non-coding RNA, 1299 nt
Organism: Cinara cedri
Lineage: Eukaryota; Metazoa; Arthropoda; Insecta; Hemiptera; Aphididae
Source: the annotation of a GenBank genome assembly